AUCACUUCAUGGCCUUUUGGAAAAGAUCAAGCAUAAGUUUCUGUUCUUAUCAGUUUAAGUUCUCAUAAGUCCUCUAUCCCAGGACAACAUACUAAGUGGAUUUCUGGAGCAGGGAGAUGGAAUAGGAACUGCUCUGUCCACGUUGUAUAUCGACCUGGUAUUGUACUACCUUUGGGGAACAGUGAAUCCCUC
Small nuclear RNA from Eptesicus fuscus (big brown bat), 192 nucleotides. RefSeq annotates it as U2 spliceosomal RNA. The transcript has a single exon. Lineage: Eukaryota; Metazoa; Chordata; Mammalia; Chiroptera; Vespertilionidae. The record is from RefSeq and is a predicted model, not a curated record.